RNAcentral lists this long non-coding RNA (1035 nucleotides) under Chloebia gouldiae (Gouldian finch). RNAcentral describes it as "Erythrura gouldiae (Gouldian finch) lncRNA (ENSEGOG00005013448.1)". The record is from RNAcentral. Lineage: Eukaryota; Metazoa; Chordata; Aves; Passeriformes; Passeridae.
AUGAAUGAAAACAUUGGGUUUUUUUUUUUUCCCUUCCUUUCUCUCCUCUCUCUCUUCCCCAGAGGAAGGCAGAUCUUAGCCCGGCGCUGCCUCGGGAGGGCAGAUUACCUGGCGCUUAAAGCGGCAGCCGAGCGGCCGCUCAGCCCCGCGGUUUCCCCGCGCUGCGGCUCGGCACCCCCCGCCUCAGCCCCUCCCGCCCUCACCUGCGAGGAGCGUUUGGGGGGUGUUUUUGACGUUCUGCUCGUUCGCAGCCGGCUACGGUCCCCACUAAGCCUUCCCGCAGCAUCCCGGUGCCUCCAUUCCGGGAGGGGGACGGUGGGAGGGUGGUCGGGGCCGCCCCUCAUCGGGCGGGCGCCGCAGCGCCCCGCGGCACCUGCUCGCUGCGGCAGCGCUGGCCCCGCGAGUGAGUGCACGGCGGGUCCCAACUUACGGGUGUGCAGGGAGCCACCGGGAACGGCAAAUCCAGCGGGCGGGGGGCGGCGGGGCCUCGGCUCCUCGCUCUCCCGGCCCCCGGGGCGGGGAAGGCCGGCGGGCUGCGCUCCUCGUCCCCGCGCAGCCCUCGCUCGCCGAUCUCCACGUCCUCCUAGGCCAGCGCAGAAGAGCCCCGCUCUCCUGCCCACCGCAGCUCCCCUCUCCCGGGGGUCAGCAUGCAGCGGCCCCGGCCGCCCGUGGAAGCGGCGCUCUCCUUCGGCCGCAGCUCUCUCGGUCCGGAGGCGACGGGAAGCAAAUCCAGCCCUUCCUGCAAAGCGGAGUAUCUGGAUCGAGCCUCAGGCGGCUGCAGGCUGCGGCAGGCAGCGGGGCUGUUGCGAUGCAGGUCUCUGUGAAGAGGCGGCGGGUGCGCGGCUCCUGUUCCGGUUGUUUGUUAUUUCCCUUUGCGAUAGCAGACUGCAGGGCUGCGGUCCCGCUCCGGCGCUCGGCUUCACCGCAUGGUCCUUGCCGCAAGUCCCGUCUGGCAAAGUGCUACCACAACCUCUGACUAUUGCAGAGGCAGCUGAGGACCCAAGAAAAGCACUCCCUCGUGCCAUCCUGCCAUGA